CCUACGGGUGGCAGCAGUGGGGAAUUUUGGGCAAUGGGCGCAAGCCUGACCCAGCAACGCCGCGUGAACGAAGAAGGCUUUCGGGUUGUAAACUUCUUUUCUCAGGGACGAAGCAAGUGACGGUACCUGAGGAAUCAGCCACGGCUUACUACGUGCCAGCAGCCGCGGUAAUACGGAGGUGGCAAGCGUUCUCCGGAUUUACUGGGUGUAAAGGGGGUGUAGGCGGGAAAGCACGUCAGAUGUGAAAACCAUGGGCUCAACCUGUGGCCUGCAUUUGAUACUGGUAUACGUGAGUGCUGGAGAGGUAGAGGGAAUUCCUGGUGUAGCGGUGAAAUGCGUAGAUAUCAGGAGGAACACCGGUGGCGUAGGCGCUUUACUGGGCAGUAAUUGACGCUGAGGAACGAAAGCGAGGGGAGCAAAUGGGAUUAGAUACCCCUGUAGUC
Molecule: ribosomal RNA, 443 nt
Filed under: uncultured bacterium
Lineage: Bacteria
Description: partial 16S ribosomal RNA
Rfam family: Bacterial small subunit ribosomal RNA
Source: RNAcentral